This 468-nucleotide ribosomal RNA is filed under the name uncultured bacterium. RNAcentral describes it as "partial 16S ribosomal RNA". It matches the Rfam family "Bacterial small subunit ribosomal RNA", at positions 28 to 507 of the family's 1533-position model. The record is from RNAcentral.
GACGAACGCUGGCGGCGUGCUUAACGCAUGCCAGUCGAACGGAAAGGCCCUGCUUUUGUGGGGUGCUCGAGUGGCGAACGGGUGAGUAACACGUGAGUAACCUGCCCUUGACUUUGGGAUAACUUCAGGAAACUGGGGCUAAUACCGGAUAGGAGCUCCUGCUGCAUGGUGGGGGUUGGAAAGUUUCGGCGGUUGGGGAUGGACUCGCGGCUUAUCAGCUUGUUGGUGGGGUAGUGGCUUACCAAGGCUUUGACGGGUAGCCGGCCUGAGAGGGUGACCGGCCACAUUGGGACUGAGAUACGGCCCAGACUCCUACGGGAGGCAGCAGUGGGGAAGAUUGCACAAUGGGCGGAAGCCUGAUGCAGCAACGCCGCGUGCGGGAUGACGGCCUUCGGGUUGUAAACCGCUUUCGCCUGUGACGAAGCGUGAGUGACGGUAAUGGGUAAAGAAGCACCGGCUAACUACGUG